Molecule: ribosomal RNA, 498 nt
Filed under: uncultured bacterium
Lineage: Bacteria
Description: partial 16S ribosomal RNA
Rfam family: Bacterial small subunit ribosomal RNA
Source: RNAcentral
GAUGAACGCUAGCGGCAGGCCUAAUACAUGCGAGUCGAACGAUAGAAGAGGGCUUGCUCUCUUCGAAAGUGGCGCACGGGUGCGUAACGCGUAUGCAACCUACCUUAAUCAGGGGGAUAGCCCGAAGAAAUUCGGAUUAACACCGCCUAAAAUCACAGUACAGCAUUGUACAAUGAUCAAAUAUUUAUAGGAUUAAGAUGGGCAUGCGUGACAUUAGCUAGUUGGCGGGGUAACGGCCCACAAAGGCGACGAUGUCUAGAGGAUCUGAGAGGAUGACCCCCCACACUGGUACUGAGACACGGACCAGAAGCCUACGAGAGGCAGCAGUAAGGAAUAUUGGUCAAUGGAGGCAACUCUGAACCAGCCAUGCCGCGUGCAGGAAGACAGCCCUCUGGGUCGUAAACUGCUUUUAUUCGGGAAUAAACCUACUUACGUGUAAGUAGCUGAAUGUACCGAAGGAAUAAGGAUCGGCUAACUCCGUGCCAGCCGCCGCAGUAA